AUGGCAUGCACGACUAGCUGGCAAUUAUUUUAUAUGUUCUGUCAUCUAGCUUACACAAACAGCAGAGCAUUAGUAGUUGACAUGCAAAAAUUAGCUCAUCCAAUUGAUUAAUUGUUGCACUUUCUUGAAUUUUUUAAUCUAAGAAGCAUUUUUUUUCCAUCAGAAAUGUUAAUCACCAGGACAUUCUGCUAAUUGUUAAUCUAAUUUUUUUUUGUUUUUCAGGACUUAUGAUGAACAUGCCCUGGUAGGCUAGUACUCUUCUAAUUCAUCGACCAGAGGACAUCCCUGACACUGCACUGCACAAAGUUGAUGCCGAUUCGCAAUGUUCCAAGGGAUUUAUGGUAAACACAGGAAGGGGUCUGAGGACACGAUGUCGAGUUGGAAUACAGGGUAACAGUCCUAUCCAAUGUUCAAUUGAAGUUGCAGCAAAUUUGAGUUGUGAUGAGGCUGUUCUUAGCCCUGUUAUUAGAGUGUUGCUUUUGAUGUUUUGAACUUAUUGAUGAAGUACUUUUCUGGCUGACAUAGAGCCCUCAGUGUAAGAUACCAGAGAUACAUCUAAAGCUAACCAGCAAUCAAAUUCAGGAAAAAAAACCAUUUCCAUUAGAUGUAUUCUCGUUUUGUAUGUUGGUUGGUUUACUUUAGUGGUCAAAUGCUGAGGUCUCAAGGAACAUUUGCUUCUGUUAUCUCCAUUGGAGAGACUGUAACUACUUGCAAUGAAAUUCUAACAAACAAGCUGAAAGGUUGUUGGCCAUGCCCAGUACAAAAUUUGGUUGGUUGUUGAGCUAACUUGUAUAUUUAAUGCAAGGAACUAUAUUACAUGUAUUACAUUAAAUUUUA
Molecule: non-coding RNA, 837 nt
Organism: Camellia sinensis
Lineage: Eukaryota; Viridiplantae; Streptophyta; Magnoliopsida; Ericales; Theaceae
Source: RefSeq, a predicted model, not a curated record